AGCCUGAUCCAGCAACGCCGCGUGAGGGAUGACGGCCUUCGGGUUGUAAACCUCUUUUAGUUGGGACGAAGCGAAAGUGACGGUACCUGCAGAAGAAGGACCGGCCAACUACGUGCCAGCAGCCGCGGUAAUACGUAGGGUCCGAGCGUUGUCCGGAAUUAUUGGGCGUAAAGGGCUCGUAGGCGGUUUGUCACGUCGGGAGUGAAAACUCAGGGCUUAACCCUGAGCGUGCUUCCGAUACGGGCUGACUAGAGGGAUGCAGGGGAGAACGGAAUUCCUGGUGUAGCGGUGGAAUGCGCAGAUAUCAGGAGGAACACCGGUGGCGAAGGCGGUUCUCUGGGCAUUUCCUGACGCUGAGGAGCGAAAGCAUGGGGAGCGAACAGGAUUAGAUACCCUGGUAGUCCAUGCCGUAAACGUUGGGCGCUAGGUGUGGGGACCUUCCACGGUUUCCGUGCCGCAGCUAACGCAUUAAGCGCCCCGCCUGGGGAGUACGGCCGCAAGGCUAAAACUCAA
RNAcentral lists this ribosomal RNA (513 nucleotides) under Aeromicrobium massiliense. RNAcentral describes it as "bacterial SSU rRNA". It matches the Rfam family "Bacterial small subunit ribosomal RNA", at positions 380 to 904 of the family's 1533-position model. The record is from RNAcentral. Lineage: Bacteria; Bacillati; Actinomycetota; Actinomycetes; Propionibacteriales; Nocardioidaceae.